GACAAUUGACACUAUAAAAUGUCCAGGGAGGUUGAAAUAAAAACAGUACGAGUGUUUAAGUAAGACAGUGUACCGGGAGCUCUCGGGACUAUACCUUUUAAAUAAAUAAAAAAAAACUUACAAUAAAAUGUUUGCCAAACUGAUGAUCUUAUUCGCCGUGCUAGCCCUGGCUCUGGCAAGGCCUCAGCUGUACUCACCCUACGGUAGCUACGGUAGCUACGGGGGCUACGCGUCCUCCUACCCCGGCUACUACGGGUACUCCGGCUACUCCAACCCCGUCGGCUACAGCUCCUACAACAACUACGGAGUCUCCCCCUUCAGCUACGGCUACGGUUACUACUGAACAUAAUAUAAUGCCCCCAAUGUCUACGCCUAAAUAUGUGAUGUACCUUUAUGUUAAUUUCAUGCAAUAUAUUACUUAAUUAUGUUAUGAUUAAAA
Helicoverpa armigera (cotton bollworm) is the source of this 439-nucleotide long non-coding RNA. RefSeq lists it as uncharacterized. NCBI's taxonomy places the organism in Eukaryota, Metazoa, Arthropoda, Insecta, Lepidoptera, Noctuidae. The transcript is spliced from 2 exons. The record is from RefSeq and is a predicted model, not a curated record.